CGGGGGGGGCAAGCGUUGUUCGGAAUUACUGGGCGUAAAGGGUUCGUAGGUGGCUAGCUAAGUCAGACGUGAAAUCCCUCAGCUUAACUGGGGAACUGCGUCCGAUACUGGCAAGCUUGAGUGCAGGAGAGGAACGCGGAAUUCCAGGUGUAGCGGUGAAAUGCGUAGAUAUCUGGAGGAACACCGGUGGCGAAGGCGGCGUUCUGGACUGCAACUGACACUGAGGAACGAAAGCCAGGGGAGCAAACGGGAUUAGAUACCCCGGUAGUCCUGGCCCUAAACGAUGAAUGCUUGGUGUGGCGGGUAUCGAUCCCUGCCGUGCCGCAGUUAACGCGUUAAGCAUUCCGCCUGGGGAGUACGGUCGCAAGGCUG
RNAcentral lists this ribosomal RNA (372 nucleotides) under uncultured organism. RNAcentral's name for it is "bacterial SSU rRNA". It matches the Rfam family "Bacterial small subunit ribosomal RNA", at positions 526 to 896 of the family's 1533-position model. The record is from RNAcentral.